This 3086-nucleotide ribosomal RNA is filed under the name Salmonella enterica subsp. enterica serovar Anatum. RNAcentral describes it as "bacterial LSU rRNA". It matches the Rfam family "Bacterial large subunit ribosomal RNA". Lineage: Bacteria; Pseudomonadati; Pseudomonadota; Gammaproteobacteria; Enterobacterales; Enterobacteriaceae. The record is from RNAcentral.
UUAAGCGACUAAGCGUACACGGUGGAUGCCCUGGCAGUCAGAGGCGAUGAAGGGCGUGCUAAUCUGCGAUAAGCGCCGGUAAGGUGAUAUGAACCGUUAUAACCGGCGAUACCCGAAUGGGGAAACCCAGUGUGAUUCGUCACACUAUCAUUAACUGAAUCCAUAGGUUAAUGAGGCGAACCGGGGGAACUGAAACAUCUAAGUACCCCGAGGAAAAGAAAUCAACCGAGAUUCCCCCAGUAGCGGCGAGCGAACGGGGAGGAGCCCAGAGCCUGAAUCAGCAUGUGUGUUAGUGGAAGCGUCUGGAAAGGCGCGCGAUACAGGGUGACAGCCCCGUACACAAAAGCGCAUGUGCUGUGAGCUCGAUGAGUAGGGCGGGACACGUGGUAUCCUGUCUGAAUAUGGGGGGACCAUCCUCCAAGGCUAAAUACUCCUGACUGACCGAUAGUGAACCAGUACCGUGAGGGAAAGGCGAAAAGAACCCCGGCGAGGGGAGUGAAAAAGAACCUGAAACCGUGUACGUACAAGCAGUGGGAGCCCCACCACUAAGCCAGUGGUGAACUCCACAUACGCAUCCUUUGCUGAGGAUACGGUUAACGGAGCGAAAGCGACGUUCAACCGCAAAAGAAGCAGAGGGGGCUUAGUGGUGGGGUGACUGCGUACCUUUUGUAUAAUGGGUCAGCGACUUAUAUUCUGUAGCAAGGUUAACCGAAUAGGGGAGCCGGAGGGAAACCGAGUCUUAAUUGGGCGUUAAGUUGCAGGGUAUAGACCCGAAACCCGGUGAUCUAGCCAUGGGCAGGUUGAAGGUUGGGUAACACUAACUGGAGGACCGAACCGACUAAUGUUGAAAAAUUAGCGGAUGACCUGUGGCUGGGGGUGAAAGGCCAAUCAAACCGGGAGAUAGCUGGUUCUCCCCGAAAGCUAUUUAGGUAGCGCCUCGUGAAUUCAUCUCCGGGGGUAGAGCACUGUUUCGGCUAGGGGGCCAUCCCGGCUUACCAACCCGAUGCAAACUGCGAAUACCGGAGAAUGUUAUCACGGGAGACACACGGCGGGUGCUAACGUCCGUCGUGAAGAGGGAAACAACCCAGACCGCCAGCUAAGGUCCCAAAGUCAUGGUUAAGUGGGAAACGAUGUGGGAAGGCCCAGACAGCCAGGAUGUUGGCUUAGAAGCAGCCAUCAUUUAAAGAAAGCGUAAUAGCUCACUGGUCGAGUCGGCCUGCGCGGAAGAUGUAACGGGGCUAAACCAUGCACCGAAGCUGCGGCAGCGAACGUAUCACUUAAAGCGAUUCAGCGGGUUACGAUUGACGGAGCGAAGCGACGUCAAAGCGUAUACAAAGUCGAGUCGGUUUAAGGAUACGUUCGUUGGGUAGGGGAGCGUUCUGUAAGCCUGUGAAGGUGGCCUGUGAGGGUUGCUGGAGGUAUCAGAAGUGCGAAUGCUGACAUAAGUAACGAUAAAGCGGGUGAAAAGCCCGCUCGCCGGAAGACCAAGGGUUCCUGUCCAACGUUAAUCGGGGCAGGGUGAGUCGACCCCUAAGGCGAGGCCGAAAGGCGUAGUCGAUGGGAAACGGGUUAAUAUUCCCGUACUUGGUGUUACUGCGAAGGGGGGACGGAGAAGGCUAUGUUGGCCGGGCGACGGUUGUCCCGGUUUAAGCGUGUAGGUGUGUGUUCCAGGUAAAUCCGGUUCACUUUAACACUGAGGCGUGACGACGAGGCACUACGGUGCUGAAGCAACAAAUGCCCUGCUUCCAGGAAAAGCCUCUAAGCAUCAGGUAACAUCAAAUCGUACCCCAAACCGACACAGGUGGUCAGGUAGAGAAUACCAAGGCGCUUGAGAGAACUCGGGUGAAGGAACUAGGCAAAAUGGUGCCGUAACUUCGGGAGAAGGCACGCUGAUAUGUAGGUGAAGUGAUUUACUCACGGAGCUGAAAUCAGUCGAAGAUACCAGCUGGCUGCAACUGUUUAUUAAAAACACAGCACUGUGCAAACACGAAAGUGGACGUAUACGGUGUGACGCCUGCCCGGUGCCGGAAGGUUAAUUGAUGGGGUCAGCGCAAGCGAAGCUCCUGAUCGAAGCCCCGGUAAACGGCGGCCGUAACUAUAACGGUCCUAAGGUAGCGAAAUUCCUUGUCGGGUAAGUUCCGACCUGCACGAAUGGCGUAAUGAUGGCCAGGCUGUCUCCACCCGAGACUCAGUGAAAUUGAACUCGCUGUGAAGAUGCAGUGUACCCGCGGCAAGACGGAAAGACCCCGUGAACCUUUACUAUAGCUUGACACUGAACAUUGAGCCUUGAUGUGUAGGAUAGGUGGGAGGCUUUGAAGCGUGGACGCCAGUCUGCGUGGAGCCGACCUUGAAAUACCACCCUUUAAUGUUUGAUGUUCUAACGUGGACCCGUAAUCCGGGUUGCGGACAGUGUCUGGUGGGUAGUUUGACUGGGGCGGUCUCCUCCUAAAGAGUAACGGAGGAGCACGAAGGUUGGCUAAUCCUGGUCGGACAUCAGGAGGUUAGUGCAAUGGCAUAAGCCAGCUUGACUGCGAGCGUGACGGCGCGAGCAGGUGCGAAAGCAGGUCAUAGUGAUCCGGUGGUUCUGAAUGGAAGGGCCAUCGCUCAACGGAUAAAAGGUACUCCGGGGAUAACAGGCUGAUACCGCCCAAGAGUUCAUAUCGACGGCGGUGUUUGGCACCUCGAUGUCGGCUCAUCACAUCCUGGGGCUGAAGUAGGUCCCAAGGGUAUGGCUGUUCGCCAUUUAAAGUGGUACGCGAGCUGGGUUUAGAACGUCGUGAGACAGUUCGGUCCCUAUCUGCCGUGGGCGCUGGAGAACUGAGGGGGGCUGCUCCUAGUACGAGAGGACCGGAGUGGACGCAUCACUGGUGUUCGGGUUGUCAUGCCAAUGGCACUGCCCGGUAGCUAAAUGCGGAAGAGAUAAGUGCUGAAAGCAUCUAAGCACGAAACUUGCCCCGAGAUGAGUUCUCCCUGAGACUUAGAGUCUCCUGAAGGAACGUUGAAGACGACGACGUUGAUAGGCCGGGUGUGUAAGCGCAGCGAUGCGUUGAGCUAACCGGUACUAAUGAACCGUGAGGCUUAACCUU